RNAcentral lists this ribosomal RNA (459 nucleotides) under uncultured bacterium. RNAcentral describes it as "bacterial SSU rRNA". It matches the Rfam family "Bacterial small subunit ribosomal RNA", at positions 64 to 571 of the family's 1533-position model. The record is from RNAcentral.
GAGCGCCCCGCAAGGGGAGCGGCAGACGGGAGAGUAACACGUGGGAACGUACCCUUCAGUUCGGAACAACCCAGGGAAACUUGGGCUAAUACCGAAUACGUCCGUAAGGAGAAAGAUUUAUCGCUGAAGGAUCGGCCCGCGUCUGAUUAGCUAGUUGGUGAGGUAACGGCUCACCAAGGCUACGAUCAGUAGCUGGUCUGAGAGGAUGAUCAGCCUCACUGGGACUGAGACACGGCCCAGACUCCUACGGGAGGCAGCAGUGGGGAAUAUUGGACAAUGGGCGCAAGCCUGAUCCAGCCAUGCCGCGUGGAUGAUGAAGGCCCUAGGGUUGUAAAGCUCUUUCGGCGGGGACGAUGAUGACGGUACCCGCAGAAGAAGCCCCGGCUAACUUCGUGCCAGCAGCCGCGGUAAUACGAAGGGGGCGAGCGUUGUUCGGAAUUACUGGGCGUAAAGGGCGCG